GACGAACGCUGGCGGCGUGCUUAACACAUGCAAGUCGAACGGUAAGGCCCUUCGGGGUACACGAGUGGCGAACGGGUGAGUAACACGUGGGUGAUCUGCCCUGCACUUCGGGAUAAGCCUGGGAAACUGGGUCUAAUACCGGAUAGGACCACUGCCUACAUGGGCGGUGGUGGAAAGCUUUUUCGGUGUGGGAUGGGCCCGCGGCCUAUCAGCUUGUUGGUGGGGUGAUGGCCUACCAAGGCGACGACGGGUAGCCGGCAUGAGAGGGUGACCGGCCACACUGGGACUGAGAUACGGCCCAGACUCCUACGGGAGGCAGCAGUGGGGAAUAUUGCACAAUGGGCGCAAGCCUGAUGCAGCGACGCCGCGUGAGGGAUGACGGCCUUCGGGUUGUAAACCUCUUUCAGCACCGACGAAGCGCAAGUGACGGUAGGUGCAGAAGAAGGACCGGCCAACUACGUGCCAGCCGCCGCCGUAA
RNAcentral lists this ribosomal RNA (478 nucleotides) under uncultured bacterium. RNAcentral's name for it is "partial 16S ribosomal RNA". It matches the Rfam family "Bacterial small subunit ribosomal RNA", at positions 28 to 523 of the family's 1533-position model. The record is from RNAcentral.